Molecule: unclassified non-coding RNA, 984 nt
Filed under: Dermacentor andersoni
Lineage: Eukaryota; Metazoa; Arthropoda; Arachnida; Ixodida; Ixodidae
Description: arylamine N-acetyltransferase / N-hydroxyarylamine O- acetyltransferase-like
Source: RNAcentral
AGCUUUUUUUUCUUUUUUCCCUCCAUGGUCUUCUCGCCAUCUGUGGCUUCACGCCCCUUCUUCGCAUCGGCGUUUCAAUCGCAAUUGUGGCAGUCGUCAUUUAUUCGUGUUUUCCGUGCUUUGUCGGAACGCACGCAAAACCAAUAGAUGCGGCCGGGCUGCACAAGCGACUGAAUCGCGAGAAAAUAUCGAGGGUUGGUACAAUUUUGUGAGCCUAGGCACCCACCCCUACACCACAUAGGAGAGCCUGAGGCACUUCUGCAGCCUGAACAGCACAGCAAAGCAUCUGAUCUUCACGCUGCGACAAGGUGCCCUGCAAGCUCUCACCCAAGCAACACAUUCCAAUGGUCUUCUGUCAGCAGACUUGGUGCAUCGAAGUACCAUUAGAAGGUCCAAUAAACAAAGCCUGUGGGAUGUAUGACAUGCUCUUGCUUAAACCGGAGGACUUCAGAAUUAAUGAAAACUGGAACCUGCAUAAAGCAUACUUAUCUUUCCUUUACAAGUGCAAGCAUUUACUUCAACUGACGUUUUUCCACCUCAAGAUUACGCUUUACUGUAGAUUUGAGCACAAACUAUUACAGCAACACAAAACUGCACUAAGACGAGUACAAGUGAUCGAGCAUAUAGUACACUUGCAAGAAUUACAUUUGCAUACUUGAAGCAAAUGUGCAAAUGAGGUACCAAUCUAUUUCAGGGUGCAUACUCUUUGUUAUACAUGGUGAAUGCACUCAUAGAUAAUACAAAACUCGUUCAUGAUCUAUUACGUCAGCAUUGGUUGUGCUAAUCCAUCUAUGCCGAAAAUUGGACUCAUCUUUGUAUCAGGGAACGUACCAGCAAACCUAUAUGUGACAGUGUCAUUCUUGGAGCAAAAAUAAUGCAGAUGUACUUGUCUUCAAGGCAGAUCACAAAUCCACAAGUUCACCAAAUAAGUUUAUAGAGUGAAGUCUAACCAUACUAAACGAACCUGGUCCGAAUGGGGGAAUA